This 528-nucleotide ribosomal RNA is filed under the name Colletotrichum gloeosporioides. RNAcentral describes it as "eukaryotic LSU rRNA". The stretch from base 160 to 313 matches the Rfam family "5.8S ribosomal RNA". Lineage: Eukaryota; Fungi; Ascomycota; Sordariomycetes; Glomerellales; Glomerellaceae. The record is from RNAcentral.
CUCUACACCCUUUGUUGCUUCGGCGGGUAGGUGUGACAUACCUAUAACGUCUCCGCGACCCUCCCGGCCUCCCGCCUCCGGGCGGGUCGGCGCCCGCCGGAGGAUAACCAAACUCUGAUUUAACGACGUUUCUUCUGAGUGGUACAAGCAAAUAAUCAAAACUUUUAACAACGGAUCUCUUGGUUCUGGCAUCGAUGAAGAACGCAGCGAAAUGCGAUAAGUAAUGUGAAUUGCAGAAUUCAGUGAAUCAUCGAAUCUUUGAACGCACAUUGCGCCCGCCAGCAUUCUGGCGGGCAUGCCUGUUCGAGCGUCAUUUCAACCCUCAAGCUCUGCUUGGUGUUGGGGCCCUACAGCUGAUGUAGGCCCUCAAAGGUAGUGGCGGACCCUCUCGGAGCCUCCUUUGCGUAGUAACUUUACGUCUCGCACUGGGAUCCGGAGGGACUCUUGCCGUAAAACCCCCAAUUUUCCAAAGGUUGACCUCGGAUCAGGUAGGAAUACCCGCUGAACUUAAGCAUAUCAAUAAGCGGA